CGCCCGGCUCCUCAGGCGGGAAGGCUGUAGCUGAGGCCAGAGCUCCUGCGAACCUUGAGCGGGCGGUCCUGUCAGCCCGCGCUCCGAGUGUGGUUGUACCAGUCUGUUAACAGGUGUUCUGAAUCAGGAAGGCCGUUGUGCCUCCUGGAGUGCUGUUUUGGACUGGCGCCUGUCUCAUUUUCUUGGGCUCCUCCUCGCUGGCAUCUGUAGCGGCGAAGGUGGGUCUGCCGGCUGCGCGGCUUGGGUCCGGGUCUUGGCAUCCUGGCGUUUUUGCGGGGAUUUUACCACCUGUGCUUUGCCAAAUAUGCACGCAGCGGCUAGCGAGGACACUCCUCCGAUGCCAUUCCAGACUUUGAUGCUGAGCUCCCGCUUCAGCUCCCGGGAAAGGAAUCACAGAUGCCAGAAACCGGCUUUAAGACAAGGAGCAGAAACUAUAGAUGAAAGGACCUAGAAGCAACAAUACCCUAGUAGAAAUGUGCACACCUAAUGUCCAGAUCUUGGUUUCUAAUACCAUUCCCUGCUAAAAAGAACUAGGGCUCUGUGGAAAAUGGUUGAUUC
RNAcentral lists this long non-coding RNA (558 nucleotides) under Mustela putorius furo (domestic ferret). RNAcentral's name for it is "lncRNA (ENSMPUG00000028386.1)". Lineage: Eukaryota; Metazoa; Chordata; Mammalia; Carnivora; Mustelidae. The record is from RNAcentral.